AUGAGGGGCUAAUCCUUCCUCUCCUAACCA
RNAcentral lists this transfer RNA (30 nucleotides) under Crocodylus novaeguineae (New Guinea crocodile). Its description in RNAcentral is "partial tRNA-Met". Lineage: Eukaryota; Metazoa; Chordata; Crocodylia; Crocodylidae. The record is from RNAcentral.